CCCAGGUCAGCCGGGGCUACCCGCUGAAUUUAAGCAUAUCAAUAAGCGGAGGAAAAGAAAYUUACAAGGAUUCCCCUAGUAACGGCGAGCGAACCGGGAAUAGCCCAGCUUUAAAAUCGGGCGGCUUUGCUGUCCGAAUUGUAGUCUGGAGAAGCGUCCUCUGCGGCGGACCGGGCUCAAG
Molecule: ribosomal RNA, 181 nt
Filed under: Viscaria alpina
Lineage: Eukaryota; Viridiplantae; Streptophyta; Magnoliopsida; Caryophyllales; Caryophyllaceae
Description: partial 28S ribosomal RNA
Rfam family: Eukaryotic large subunit ribosomal RNA
Source: RNAcentral